AUUGGUUUUCAGCCUUUUGGCUAAGAUCAGUAUCUAUUCUUAUCAGUUUAAUAUCUGAUAUGUCAUCUAUAUGUAUAUACAUAGGUAUAUGUA
This is a small nuclear RNA of Sarcophilus harrisii (Tasmanian devil), 93 nucleotides long. Its record names the gene U2. It matches the Rfam family "U2 spliceosomal RNA". Rfam says of the family: U2 is a small nuclear RNA (snRNA) component of the spliceosome (involved in pre-mRNA splicing). The record is from Ensembl. NCBI's taxonomy places the organism in Eukaryota, Metazoa, Chordata, Mammalia, Dasyuromorphia, Dasyuridae.